Molecule: ribosomal RNA, 733 nt
Filed under: uncultured bacterium
Lineage: Bacteria
Description: bacterial SSU rRNA
Rfam family: Bacterial small subunit ribosomal RNA
Source: RNAcentral
AGUGGCGAACGGGUGAGUAAUAUAUCGGAACGUACCCUAGAGUGGGGGAUAACGUAGCGAAAGUUACGCUAAUACCGCAUACGAUCUAAGGAUGAAAGUGGGGGAUCGCAAGACCUCAUGCUCGUGGAGCGGCCGAUAUCUGUUUAGCUAGUUGGUAGGGUAAAAGCCUACCAAGGCAUCGAUCAGUAGCUGGUCUGAGAGGACGACCAGCCACACUGGAACUGAGACACGGUCCAGACUCCUACGGGAGGCAGCAGUGGGGAAUUUUGGACAAUGGGCGAAAGCCUGAUCCAGCAAUGCCGCGUGAGUGAAGAAGGCCUUCGGGUUGUAAAGCUCUUUUGUCAGGGAAGAAACGGUGAGAGCUAAUAUCUCUUGCUAAUGACGGUACCUGAAGAAUAAGCACCGGCUAACUACGUGCCAGCAGCCGCGGUAAUACGUAGGGUGCAAGCGUUAAUCGGAAUUACUGGGCGUAAAGCGUGCGCAGGCGGUUUUGUAAGUCUGAUGUGAAAUCCCCGGGCUCAACCUGGGAAUUGCAUUGGAGACUGCAAGGCUAGAAUCUGGCAGAGGGGGGUAGAAUUCCACGUGUAGCAGUGAAAUGCGUAGAUAUGUGGAGGAACACCGAUGGCGAAGGCAGCCCCCUGGGUCAAGAUUGACGCUCAUGCACGAAAGCGUGGGGAGCAAACAGGAUUAGAUACCCUGGUAGUCCACGCCCUAAACGAUGUCUACUAGUUGU